Molecule: ribosomal RNA, 468 nt
Filed under: uncultured bacterium
Lineage: Bacteria
Description: partial 16S ribosomal RNA
Rfam family: Bacterial small subunit ribosomal RNA
Source: RNAcentral
GACGAACGCUGGCGGCGUGCUUAACACAUACAAGUCGAACGGACAGGCCCUGCUUUUGUGGGGUGCUCGAGUGGCGAACGGGUGAGUAACACGUGAGUAACCUGCCCUUGUCUUUGGGAUAACUUCUGGAAACUCGGGCUAAUACCGGAUAGGAGCUCUUGCUGCGUGGUGGGGGUUGGUAAGUUUCGGCGGUUGGGGCUGGAAUCGCGGCUUCUCAGCUUGUUGGUGGGGUAGUGGAUUACCAAGGCUUUGACGGGUAGCCGGCCUGAGAGGGUGACCGGCGACAUUGGGACUGAGAUACGGCCCAGACUCCUACGGGACGCAGCAGUGGGGAAUAUUGCACAAUGGGCGGAAGCCUGAUGCAGCAACGCCGCGUGCGGGAUGACGGCCUUCGGGUUGUAAACCGCUUUCGCCGGUGACGAAGCGUGAGUGACGGUAAUUGGUAAAGAAGCACCGGCUAACUACGUG